Molecule: ribosomal RNA, 482 nt
Filed under: uncultured bacterium
Lineage: Bacteria
Description: bacterial SSU rRNA
Rfam family: Bacterial small subunit ribosomal RNA
Source: RNAcentral
GACGAACGCUGGCGGCGUGCCUAAUACAUGCAAGUCGAGCGGACCCUUCGGGGUUAGCGGCGGACGGGUGAGUAACACGUGGGUAAUCUGCCCAACUGACUGGAAUAACGACCUGAAACGGGUGCUAAUNCCGGAUAGGCAACUGGUAGGCAUCUACCGGUUGGGAAAGGUGCAACUGCACCGCCAGAUGGAGGAGCCCGCGGCGCAUUAGCUAGUUGGUGGGGUAACGGCCUACCAAGGCGACGAUGCGUAGCCGACCUGAGAGGGUGGACGGCCACACUGGGACUGAGACACGGCCCAGACUCCUAUGGGAGGCAGCAGUAGGGAAUCUUCCGCAAUGGGCGCAAGCCUGACGGAGCAACGCCGCGUGAGCGAAGAAGGCCUUCGGGUUGUAAAGCUCAGUCACUCGGGAAGAGCGGACGGGGGAGUGGAAAGCCCUCGUCGAGACGGUACCGAGAGAGGAAGCCCCGGCUAACUACGUG